This 73-nucleotide transfer RNA is filed under the name Pythium insidiosum. RNAcentral describes it as "tRNA-Phe". It matches the Rfam family "tRNA". From Rfam's summary of the family: Transfer RNA (tRNA) molecules are approximately 80 nucleotides in length. Their secondary structure includes four short double-helical elements and three loops (D, anti-codon, and T loops). Further hydrogen bonds mediate the characteristic L-shaped molecular structure. tRNAs have two regions of fundamental functional importance: the anti-codon, which is responsible for specific mRNA codon recognition, and the 3' end, to which the tRNAs corresponding amino acid is attached (by aminoacyl-tRNA synthetases). tRNAs cope with the degeneracy of the genetic code in two manners: having more than one tRNA (with a specific anti-codon) for a particular amino acid; and 'wobble' base-pairing, i.e. permitting non-standard base-pairing at the 3rd anti-codon position. Lineage: Eukaryota; Oomycota; Peronosporomycetes; Pythiales; Pythiaceae. The record is from RNAcentral.
GCUUUGAUAGCUCAGUUGGGAGAGCGUCAGACUGAAGAUCUGAAGGUCCCUGGUUCGAUCCCGGGUCAAAGCA